AACCAUUCUCACCUGCGGCUAGACCUGCGGAGGGAUCAUUACCGAGUUUACAACUCCCAAACCCCUGUGAACAUACCUAUACGUUGCCUCGGCGGAUCAGCCCGCGCCCCGUAAAAAGGGACGGCCCGCCCGAGGACCCCUAAACUCUGUUUUUAGUGGAACUUCUGAGUAAAACAAACAAAUAAAUCAAAACUUUUAACAAUGGAUCU
RNAcentral lists this unclassified non-coding RNA (209 nucleotides) under soil metagenome. Its description in RNAcentral is "partial contains 5.8S ribosomal RNA, internal transcribed spacer 2, and large subunit ribosomal RNA". The record is from RNAcentral.